AUGUGGUCACAUAGGAAGUUAUGUAUAUUUAACAGGGUAUAUCAGCAAGGUUUUUUUAUAGAAGGGCAGUGCAGAUAUCAGGUAGUCAGUAGUCAUACUGGACAUUAUGAGUUUUCUAUCAUUUUUAUUGUUAUCAUUACUAUGCAACUUUGGAGAGUUUAUGUAACUUCUUCAGGCCUCAGUUUCCUCAUCUCUAACAGGCGGACAGUGGAGACUACCUGGAAGGUUAUACUGAGAACUGGAAAUGACAGAUCGCUCCUCAGCCUUUUGGCUAAGAGCAAGUGUAGAAACGACAGAAAGCAUCUGGAGCAUAGUAGGUGCUCAAGAAACAGUGAGAGGAGGUUCUUGCUCUCCCUUUGGUUCCUUUCCUUCACUUUUUCUCCUUCAAAUACCUGCCUCACUUUCCCCUCCUUUUUAGUUUUAGAGUAUAUGGAGACAUCUGGAAAGCCUGGAAGAAAUGAUAAUUUUAGUUUCAAAUUCAGUCAUUUUUUCUCUUCAUCCUGUCAGACAGUUUAUGUUUUCUCUGUGAUUAGGUGGUAUGGUUUGUGA
Molecule: long non-coding RNA, 549 nt
Filed under: Capra hircus (goat)
Lineage: Eukaryota; Metazoa; Chordata; Mammalia; Artiodactyla; Bovidae
Description: lncRNA (ENSCHIG00010026188.1)
Source: RNAcentral